GUUUCCAAAGUGUAGUGGUCAUCAUGUCUGCUUUACAGGCAGAAAGUCCUUGGUUCAAUCCCCAGUGGAGCCA
RNAcentral lists this transfer RNA (73 nucleotides) under Ameiurus melas (black bullhead). It matches the Rfam family "tRNA". Rfam says of the family: Transfer RNA (tRNA) molecules are approximately 80 nucleotides in length. Their secondary structure includes four short double-helical elements and three loops (D, anti-codon, and T loops). The record is from Rfam by way of RNAcentral. Lineage: Eukaryota; Metazoa; Chordata; Actinopteri; Siluriformes; Ictaluridae.